ACUCCUACGGGAGGCAGCAGUGGGGAAUCUUAGACAAUGGGGCAACCCGUGCAUCUAGCCAUGCCGCGUGAGUGAUGAAGGCCUUAGGGUUGUAAAGCUCUUUCAGCUGGGAAGAUAAUGACGGUACCAGCAGAAGAAGCCCCGCCGUACAUCCGUGCCAGCAGCCGCGGUAAUACGGAGGGCGUAGCGUUGUUCGGAAUUACUGGGCGUAAAGCGCACGUAGGCGGACCGAAAGUCAGAGGUGAAAUCCCA
This 252-nucleotide ribosomal RNA is filed under the name uncultured bacterium. RNAcentral's name for it is "partial 16S ribosomal RNA". It matches the Rfam family "Bacterial small subunit ribosomal RNA", at positions 335 to 604 of the family's 1533-position model. The record is from RNAcentral.